This is a long non-coding RNA of Macrobrachium nipponense, 2295 nucleotides long. RefSeq lists it as uncharacterized. Lineage: Eukaryota; Metazoa; Arthropoda; Malacostraca; Decapoda; Palaemonidae. The record is from RefSeq and is a predicted model, not a curated record. The transcript has 3 exons.
GUCUCCUAGGCGACAGGUAAUGUUAGAGCUAAUCAAUGCUUCAAGUUUGAAAACACUUAACGUCUUAUGGUGCAUGUGAAACAAGGAAUUUGCUCUGCUGCUUAACGGCCAGUCAAUCGAGUUGGUCAUUCAGUUCAGAAGCCGCUAACCAACCCCGGGACACCGCCGCUACCUUAGCAGGCCGAAAUGAAAAAGAUCAUGAAGAUGCCAUCGCACAUACGGAUGGUUAUGCUGCUGUCCAUUGUGUCUGUUCACGUCCUGGGAGACGCCGUUUGUCCGUCUCGUCUCUACCUGAUCCUCUUCAGUGGAGGACAGAAACUCUCCGCUCCAUAUGUGCUGUUCAACACCACCAACGCUUUACAUUGCUCAUCCACCUGCAACACAAAUCCAAGCUGUUGGGUCUACACCUGGGACACGGAGACAAAAGAAUGCGGCCUCCUGCAGAGUCUAUCUUGGCCAAUCACCACCGUAGCAGCUCCUCCUUCGUUACGCACUUACUACGUCAGGGGUACGAAUGGCAUGGUGCUGGACAGGACGAGUAUUAAAGGUUACUGGUCCAUCGUGAAGACAGAGUGUGAGGAGAUGGGAGGACGUCUGCAUAUGCCCCUUGACAGCAACUAUUGCCGAUUAAUACAUUAUCUGCUGGGCGAGGAUAAGCUCUGGGUAGGCAUGAGUCGCAAACCGACCGAUGAUAUGUACACUUGGUUUGACAUGGAUGGAAAUCCCGCCGUGACAAAGAUGGGAUGGAGGCCCAGGCAACCAAAUAAUAACAAUGGUAAUCAAUUGUACAUGUCCACUGUGAAUGGUACAAUGAAUGAUGAAGACUUGAUUUUUCAAUAUUACGGCAUUUGCGAUGUUCCACGAUGUGUUAACUGGCUGUGCUGAUCGUCUAGAUGUUUGGAGGCUUGCCACUUAAAUUGGACAUUCCAGUAAAUCAUUUUUGCUUGAUGGUAUAGGUAAAAAACUUCUUUUUUUUUAGUGGGUACUUUCACAAAAAGCACUCAUUGUUGCAUGUUGGUAGAUUUUGAAAGCAAACUUGAAAUUGGACAUUCCAGUAAAUCAUUUUUGCUUGAUGGUAUAGGUAAAAAAAAACUUAUUCAUUGUAGUGGGUACUUUCACAAAAAGCACUCAAUGUUGAAUGAUGGUAGAUUUUGUAUGCAAAAUUGCACUGUCAGCAGUGUAAUAUAGCAAAGCUGUUAAUAUGAUCUGAUGUUUACCUUAUGGUUUGGUCUUUUCUUCGACUAACUGGCAGUUUGUUAGGCUAAUGCAGGCAGGUCAAGAGGAACGAAUGAAAAAAUACCCUUAAGACUAGAAAUUGAGUUGUAAUCCUUUACCUCAGAGGGAUAAUACUCACACAGGCUACACUUAUACAACAGAGGAAGGUUUACAUAGUUCUUUGACCACCAUCCCUGCAACUGUUAGUUUCUGGUUGGUAGUUGGUAGUAGGUUCUGUGAGUAGUGGUUGCACGUUGUGAACUGGUGUGUGAAAAUUGGUUAAAUAUUGCACUCUGAGUUUUAUUAUAGCAAUAUCAACUGCCUCUAAUGGACUCUAGGAAUUCACCAUACUACUUUUAAGAGGUUAAGACACAAUAUAGAUUUUAUAAUAAUUUUAGGGAAAGUUAUAAUAAUUUAGACUCCAUUUUCUAUUUCUGAAGUGUGUUUCCCCAAAUGUUUAUAAAUUUAGAGAGCUAUUAAGAUUUACUUUUGGUGGCCUACUCACUGUGUACUUACAUGCACAUAAAGUGAAAGGGUGAGAUGUUUAAAACAAACUGAAGACCACAAUUAUGUAAAUUAGUAAGGUUGAAUUAAGUACUGGUCAGCUAUUUCUGUAUAAGUAGUUCUUGAUGCAAAAUAUUCCUUAUUAUUACGAAGACCAAUAAAGACUCAUUUACUUUUUCCCUGUUUUUUAGAUCCUAAUCCCUAGACCUGUUGAUGAAAUAUAUAAAACCAUCCAAGGAUGGUCAUGCUCACGAAUGGUACUAAAUGCAUGUAUGUUACGCCAACUGUAUGUCUGUAAGUGUAGUACAUGUAGUUGCUGUAAUCCAACUUAUAUUGGAAAAUCAAUUAUAACAAACAGGCCACUUAACAAACAAGCAUUUAGUGCCAUUCUUGAGCAUUAACAUCGGCACGACCAUCUUCUGAGGAUGGAUUCUUUUUCUAUAUUAGCCAGUCGGUCUAGUGAUGUGGAGCUAACCACAAUUGCUUUGUUUUUAUUACUGUGCCUAUCUUACGUAAUUAUCUUUGAAUUUGCCCUUUUUUCUCCUCUCUUGACUCGCUUUUGUAGUUUAAACUGUA